CAAGUCGAAUGGGUUUAGGCCCAUGGCAGACGAGGUAGGAACACGUAGGUACGUACCCCAAAGUCAGGGAUAAUCCGUCGAAAGGCGGAAUAAUACUUGAUGGUCUCUUCGGAGUAAAGAUUUAUCGCUUUGGGAACGGCCUGCGGGCUAUCAGCUUGUUGGUAAGGUAACGGCUUACCAAGGCUACGACGGCUAGGGGAGGUGAGAGCCUGACCCCCACCGAUGGAACUGCGACACGGUCCAU
This 244-nucleotide ribosomal RNA is filed under the name uncultured bacterium. RNAcentral describes it as "partial 16S ribosomal RNA". It matches the Rfam family "Bacterial small subunit ribosomal RNA", at positions 58 to 334 of the family's 1533-position model. The record is from RNAcentral.